RNAcentral lists this ribosomal RNA (274 nucleotides) under uncultured bacterium. Its description in RNAcentral is "partial 16S ribosomal RNA". It matches the Rfam family "Bacterial small subunit ribosomal RNA", at positions 523 to 796 of the family's 1533-position model. The record is from RNAcentral.
AUACGAGGGGUGCAAACGUUAUUCGGAUUAACUGGGCGUAAAGGGUGUGUAGACGGUUGAUUAAGUUUGUUGUUAAAUCUCUUGGCCUAACCGAGAGCUUGCGAUAAAAACUAAUCGACUUGAGGGUGAAAGAGAGAAGCGGAAUUCUCGGAGUAGCGGUAAAAUGCGUAGAUCUCGAGAGGAACACCGAUGGCGAAGGCAGCUUUCUGGACUGUAACUGACCCUCAUGGACGAAAGUUAGGGGAGCAAACAGGAUUAGAAACCCGGGUAGUCC